GCGCACUUAGCUCAGUGGUUAGAGCAUCACCCUUGAAUGUUGAGUUUGCGGGUUCAAUUCCUGAAGUGCACA
RNAcentral lists this transfer RNA (72 nucleotides) under Phakopsora pachyrhizi. Its description in RNAcentral is "tRNA-Ser". It matches the Rfam family "tRNA". From Rfam's summary of the family: Transfer RNA (tRNA) molecules are approximately 80 nucleotides in length. Their secondary structure includes four short double-helical elements and three loops (D, anti-codon, and T loops). Further hydrogen bonds mediate the characteristic L-shaped molecular structure. tRNAs have two regions of fundamental functional importance: the anti-codon, which is responsible for specific mRNA codon recognition, and the 3' end, to which the tRNAs corresponding amino acid is attached (by aminoacyl-tRNA synthetases). tRNAs cope with the degeneracy of the genetic code in two manners: having more than one tRNA (with a specific anti-codon) for a particular amino acid; and 'wobble' base-pairing, i.e. permitting non-standard base-pairing at the 3rd anti-codon position. Lineage: Eukaryota; Fungi; Basidiomycota; Pucciniomycetes; Pucciniales; Phakopsoraceae. The record is from RNAcentral.